Molecule: ribosomal RNA, 253 nt
Filed under: uncultured bacterium
Lineage: Bacteria
Description: partial 16S ribosomal RNA
Rfam family: Bacterial small subunit ribosomal RNA
Source: RNAcentral
GACGUAGGAGGCGAGCGUUGUCCGGAUUCAUUGGGCGUAAAGAGCACGCAGGCGGUUUGGCAAGUCGGAUGUGAAAACCCGGAGCUCAACUCCGGACCUGCAUCCGAAACUGCCCGACUAGAGGUAGGUAGGGGAGAUCGGAAUUCCUGGUGUAGCGGUGAAAUGCGCAGAUAUCAGGAGGAACACCGGUGGCGAAGGCGGGUUGCUGGGCUGAUACUGACGCUGAGGCGCGAAAGCGUGGGGAGCGAACAGG